Long non-coding RNA from Ctenopharyngodon idella (grass carp), 3544 nucleotides. RefSeq lists it as uncharacterized. NCBI's taxonomy places the organism in Eukaryota, Metazoa, Chordata, Actinopteri, Cypriniformes, Xenocyprididae. The record is from RefSeq and is a predicted model, not a curated record. The transcript is spliced from 6 exons.
UAAACUCGCAAUAUAGUAACAAUUCCGACUUUUUUUCUCGCAAUUGCGAGUUUAUAUCUCAGAAUUGUGACUUUAUAACUCGCAAUUGUGAGAAAAAAAAGUCAGAAUUGCAAGAUAAAAAGUCACAAUGUUGAGAUAAAAAGUCGCAAUUACGGUUUUUAAUUUUUUAUUUAAUGGUGGAAACGGGCUUCCAUAAUAGGCCUAAUUCAUUCAGAAUUUGAAGAUCACAUUUGUUUUGCAUUUAUAUUGGGAUGUGUAGGCUAUAGGUUGCUGAUAGGCGACACGUAACUAUUUCAUGACAUAGACUCUAUGUUUUCAUGGAGGAAUCGCAUCUAGCCUUACCCUAGAGUUGGUUCACCCUCCGCCUAUGCUAUGUUAUAUAUUGGUUUAUAUGAUUUAUGAUUUUCAAUUUCACAUUUUACCUAUGCAACGUGGUGGUAAUUGUCUUACUGUGGUGGUCCACCAGUUGAAGGGACAUAGAAGAAAAACUGUAGUAUUGGCUGUCUCGAUGAGCGUGUGCCAGUUAACCUUAAUAUUUGCGUGUGGACCAUGUAUGGCACUAAAUACAUUUUUUCAAGAAAGCAUAAUGAUUAAGGUGGGGGGCCUCACACAAAGAGCAGCCUAGGGGCCCCUGACCACCUUAAUCCGCCCCUGUCUAUCUGUAUUGUAAUAGGAUGUCAAGAUGCUAGUCCGUGCUAACUAGUUGAAGUAUUCUCUCUGUAACAGUAAACACACAUUGUAAUGUCAAACAAUGAUAUAGCCAUUUUUUACUUUGUCAAUAGUUAUGACGAAAAACUCUGUACACAUCUGGCCUAAAUGUUUAUCUUUCAGCUUCACUUGGCAUUCUGAUACAGUUCCCAAAGGUGCACCUACAUAAAGUAUAACUGUGACGCUGCUAUUAAAUAAUGCAAACUAAGGUGACACUUACUAUAGAGAAACGUCGUACUCCAGUCGUGAUUGCGAAUCAGUUUCUGGUUGAUCGACUACUUCAGAUGUUUCAUCGUCGGACUCAGGCUCAAAUUGAUACGGUAAAAUCGAUGCUAUCUUUUCUGUCCAUACAUUGUAUACAAUGUCUUGCGAACUGAUAGCUGUCAUUCAGUUAUGGCAAUGGGCGCACGCUGCACGCAGUAGACCAAUCAUAAUGGAUUGGGCCAUCUGAAUCAGAGAGGUGUAGGCUCACGGAAAGGAGGGGUUUAGAGAGACUGAUGGGUGCGUGUAUAUAUAUAUAUAUAUAUAUAUAUAUAUAUAUAUAUAUAUAUAUAUAAAUUCAGUUUUUAAAUUCAAAUCAAAAGAAGAGAAAGAAGAAGAUGUUUGUGCGGUUUGGAGCGGACGCGAGCAAAACGGAUUAUUUUCCAAGAGAUAUGUAUGGGGUCAUUUCGACAAAACAGUUCUGGUAAGCAUCGACGCACAUUUACAUUUGUAGUAUUUUUACUUAGCAGACGCUUAUAAAGGAACUUCCUAAAAGUUAACUUCACGUGACUGCCGCGAACGCAGCUUUCUUGGCUUGCCUGAAAACUUUCGGUAUGCCACCUAUACAGCUAAUAAACUGACAAUUUUUUUUUUUUUUUUUUUUUUUUUUUUUUUUGUAUCUUUGAUCUAAGUGUAACGGUGUGUAAAAGUGUUAAAUUGAUGUAAAAAUGGGGACAGCGCCAUCUGUCUGCUGCGUGAUGGCAUAUAGCACGUGAAAUGGGACCGCCCAAAGCAGAGAUAAUGAUACAUGCUGUGGGUAAGUCGUACGUUUUCAGCAGCCGGAGAAUUAUAGUUAAAAUGAUUAAAAACACAUAACUAACUGCUUUAUUGCUGAUUUAUCCUGCAAUGAACUUCUUGUAGAACUGUUGAUAUGUUGGCGUCGAAUGUGGCGUUUUAUGUUGAGUUAUUUUUAGUUUGUAUUAUGAGGCCUAGUCGUAAUUCAUUUGUGCAUUGUCUUUGUUUUAUGUAGAAGUGAUUUUAAUUCUCCGUGCAGUUUCCCUUAUUUCUACGUGUUCUCCAUUGUGCAGCAGAAAGACCACCCAGGCAAGACCGUCACAUAAGCAUUGUUAUGUGGAUCUCAAUUGUUUACGCUGUACUAAACUUUGACGAGCAACACUCCGAUCUGCAAACAAAGCUGAGGAAGAGGAUGAUGACGGUCCUGCAUACACAAGGAGAAAGAGCAGGUUUGGUUUUAGUUUCCACGCUCAUAUUUUUAUAAAUGCAAUUGUAAUAAGCAAAAGUUGUUUUAUUCCAUGUUUCUUCAGUGAAGAGGAUUUGUUUAUACUGUCAUAAAAUAUCAUUGUUUUCAAAUAACCUCAAUUAACUAAAUACAUAAGCUAGUUUAACUUUUUUUUUUUUUUUUUUUUUUUUUUUUUUUUAAAUGAUGGAAAUGUACUGCAAUCCAUGCAUUAGUAUGUCUGAGAUCAUCUUCAGUUGAUAAAUGUAAGCAGAUUUUACAUUUACAGAUGCUCAUGACUGCUAAAACAUGGACAACACAAACACACAAUCACAGCUUUCUUAAUAGAUACUUGUAUACUAUUUGCUCUUUACAAGUGGAAUGUAAACCUGAGUAAACGUCGCUACUUUAAUGAUUAUUUCUAAGUUUUCUGAGCGAUGUAAACUGCUGUCAUCCACAUCACAUCAUUGCCCUAACUGACGUUACCAGAAGAAUCCUUUCAGGGUGGCAGAUAUUCACAAGCGUCUGGAGCAAACUUAUACUGAACUGGAUGCUUACUGAAGAGUGAGCUUCAACACUUAAGGUUUGUACAAAGUUACACCAUAUCACUGAAAACGGCACGCAUCAACAAGAUUCCAGAGACUUUGCGUGACAUUUUAAAUGUUUAUGAUCUUCAGGGUGUGCAUGAUGUCAACAUGAAAGGCACUGUAGCCCUCCGUGCUUCUCAGUGUACCUGUGUGAAGAGGACCCACAAUUCUUCAAGACUUGAAAUGAGGCGUUGGGAGAGCCAGACAUCACUCAUUUUGUCAUUGUGAUCAACGAAUGAACAAGUCCUUCAAGCACUGCAGUUGUUAUAGAAGAUGAUCUUCAGUUUUAGCAUGUUCAGAAGCAUUUGUUCACAUAGUCACAGGGUUUUAAAAAUAAAAGACUAAUCUUCAAAAAAAAAUCUUCAAUUGUACAGCUGAAGGUUUAUUUUAUUUUAUUUUAUUUAUUUUUUAUUUUUAGGUUUUGUUGUUGUUGUUGUUUUUGUUUUUUGAGUUAGUAUUUUUAUGUAAUGAAGUACUGCAGAGGUGCCCGAUCCUGUUCCUGGAGAUCUACCUGCCUGCAGAAUUCAGCUAAGUUAUUGAGCUAAUUAUUUUGCUAAGUACAAAAUGUGUUUAACAGCAAAACUUUUUUCCAUUUACCAAUGUGUUUAAAACAUUUAUUUUUAAGUUUGUCUAUACUUAUUAAAUUUUACAGUCUGUGUAUAAGUAAAUACUGGUGUAUAAUUUUUCAAAAUGUGGUAAAUAUUUUAUUUACAAUAAUUGUAUAACAACUGCUGUUAUUUGAUGUAAUAUAGUUUUGUAAUUGUUUUGUAAAUAAAAUGUUUUAUUUUAUUAGAGGUGUCGCUGCAAGGCA